UCUCUUUAUUUAUUUAUUUAUUUCACCUGCUCAGAGCCUUAGGGGAAAGAGCUAUUAAUUUGCAAAUCAUCUGAUCUGUGAAGGGAUCAAGAUGCCUGCUUUUCACCGCUAAAUCCAAUGUCUUGAGUGGACACCCAGAUGCACACACAAGCCUGUCAAGCUGUGAAUCCCGGGACUGUAGAAAGGAAAGAGCAAGGUGUAGCUGAUUAGCAAGUUAAUUAUUUCAGUACCCCAAGGGUUCCUGUGUGGUGGAGACAGCCCAAGGCACCUAGAUUUGGAGAACCAACUUCCUGACAGUGUGAAGAUGAUAUGUGCAGGCGGUAGUGUUGGCCUCCAGGAAACAACUCUGAGGACAAUGGCUUCUGUGCUGGUGGCAGCAAAUUAGGGAGUGGAGGGGUCAAUCACUAUUUAGACUUGGCUGUCCUGACCUAAUGGGCCUGAGAGGAAUUAGUGAGAGCAAAAAGGGCUUCAGGAAGGAAGGUGUAGGCUGAGCCAAAUGAAAU
Molecule: long non-coding RNA, 503 nt
Organism: Suncus etruscus (white-toothed pygmy shrew)
Lineage: Eukaryota; Metazoa; Chordata; Mammalia; Eulipotyphla; Soricidae
Exons: 3
Source: RefSeq, a predicted model, not a curated record